This 465-nucleotide ribosomal RNA is filed under the name uncultured bacterium. RNAcentral's name for it is "partial 16S ribosomal RNA". It matches the Rfam family "Bacterial small subunit ribosomal RNA", at positions 28 to 506 of the family's 1533-position model. The record is from RNAcentral.
GAUGAACGCUGGCGGCGUGCUUAACACAUGCAAGUCGAACGAUGAAGCCCAGCUUGCUGGGUGGAUUAGUGGCGAACGGGUGAGUAACACGUGAGUAACCUGCCCUUAACUCUGGGAUAAGCCUGGGAAACUGGGUCUAAUACCGGAUAGGAGCGCCUACCGCAUGGUGGGUGUUGGAAAGAUUUAUCGGUUUUGGAUGGACUCGCGGCCUAUCAGCUUGUUGGUGAGGUAAUGGCUCACCAAGGCGACGACGGGUAGCCGGCCUGAGAGGGUGACCGGCCACACUGGGACUGAGACACGGCCCAGACUCCUACGGGAGGCAGCAGUGGGGAAUAUUGCACAAUGGGCGAAAGCCUGAUGCAGCGACGCCGCGUGAGGGAUGACGGCCUUCGGGUGGUAAACCUCUUUCAGUAGGGAAGAAGCGAAAGUGACGGUACCUGCAGAAGAAGCACCGGCUAACUACGG